This 64-nucleotide transfer RNA is filed under the name Microplitis manilae. RNAcentral's name for it is "tRNA-Cys". Lineage: Eukaryota; Metazoa; Arthropoda; Insecta; Hymenoptera; Braconidae. The record is from RNAcentral.
AUUUAAUUAGUUUAUAUUAAAACAUUAAAUUGCAAAUUUAAAAAAAAAUUAAAUUUAUUAAAUU